CUCCGCCCCACCUCACCUCACCUCACCUCACCUCACCUCACCUCACCUCUCUGCCCACUUUUGGAUUAGCCGUAGCGGACGAGGUGAAGCAUUACGAAUAUAGCGACCACCAGACUUGAGCUUCAAAACCUCACUUCAAAAACCACGGGAGACGCAAAGUGGUUGUGGUGACCGGCGGGGUUCUCAGUACUGGACCAGUGAGCGUAUUGCUGCUUGGUGCAUCACAACGAAGAGAAGAAGACUCCAAAAUACACUUUGACAAGCCGCAUAAAGACAGGCUGAAGCUGGACUCAUGGAGGUCCCUCAUGCCUCCGUGCCUGGUGCUGGGGCGUGUCGGAGUGUCCAGAUCCGAAGACCC
Monopterus albus (swamp eel) is the source of this 358-nucleotide long non-coding RNA. RefSeq lists it as uncharacterized. The record is from RefSeq and is a predicted model, not a curated record. The transcript has 3 exons. NCBI's taxonomy places the organism in Eukaryota, Metazoa, Chordata, Actinopteri, Synbranchiformes, Synbranchidae.